Molecule: unclassified non-coding RNA, 367 nt
Filed under: uncultured Pleosporales
Lineage: Eukaryota; Fungi; Ascomycota; Dothideomycetes; Pleosporales
Description: sequence contains ITS2
Rfam family: 5.8S ribosomal RNA (bases 1-154)
Source: RNAcentral
AACUUUCGACAAUGGAUCUCUUGGUUCUGGCAUCGAUGAAGAACGCAGCGAAAUGCGAAAAGUAGUGUGAAUUGCAGACUUUAGUGAAUCAUCGAAUCUUUGAACGCACAUUGCGCCCCUUGGCAUUCCAUUGGGCAUGCCUGUUCGAGCGUCAUUUCCACUCUCAAGCAAUGCUUGGUGUUGGGUGUUUGUUUGUGCUUAUUGCAUGAACUCGCCUUAAAAGUAUUGGCAGCAGCUUACCAGCCUCCCGCGCAGCACAAUGCGCUCUAUGGGGUUUGGCAGGCCAGCGUCCACAAGAUAUUUCUAGGUUGACCUCGAAUCAGGUAGGGAUACCCGCUGAACUUAAGCAUAUCAAUAAGCGGAGGCU